AUGAACGCUGGCGGCGUGCCUAACACAUGCAAGUCGAACGGAGAUUUAACGCUGAUGAGGCUUCGGCGGAUUCUGUUAAAUCUUAGUGGCGGACGGGUGAGUAACGCGUGGGCAACCUGCCUCAUACUGGGGGAUAGCAGUUGGAAACGACUGAUAAUACCGCAUAAGCGCACGGAGUCGCAUGACUCAGUGUGAAAAACUCCGGUGGUAUGAGAUGGGCCCGCGUCAGAUUAGCUAGUUGGUAAGGUAACGGCUUACCAAGGCGACGAUCUGUAGCCGGACUGAGAGGUCGGACGGCCACAUUGGGACUGAGACACGGCCCAAACUCCUACGGGAGGCAGCAGUGGGGGAUAUUGCACAAUGGAGGAAACUCUGAUGCAGCGACGCCGCGUGAGUGAAGAAGUAUUUCGGUAUGUAAAGCUCUAUCAGCAGGGAAGAAAGACUCGCAAGAGAGAUGACGGUACCUGACUAAGAAGCCCCGGCUAACUACGUGCCAGCCGCUGC
Molecule: ribosomal RNA, 504 nt
Filed under: uncultured bacterium
Lineage: Bacteria
Description: bacterial SSU rRNA
Rfam family: Bacterial small subunit ribosomal RNA
Source: RNAcentral